RNAcentral lists this ribosomal RNA (496 nucleotides) under uncultured bacterium. RNAcentral's name for it is "partial 16S ribosomal RNA". It matches the Rfam family "Bacterial small subunit ribosomal RNA", at positions 28 to 506 of the family's 1533-position model. The record is from RNAcentral.
GAUGAACGCUGGCGGCGUGCCUAAUACAUGCAAGUCGAGCGAACAGACGAGGAGCUUGCUCCUCUGACGUUAGCGGCGGACGGGUGAGUAACACGUGGAUAACCUACCUAUAAGACUGGGAUAACUUCGGGAAACCGGAGCUAAUACCGGAUAAUAUAUUGAACCGCAUGGUUCAAUAGUGAAAGACGGUUUUGCUGUCACUUAUAGAUGGAUCCGCGCCGCAUUAGCUAGUUGGUAAGGUAACGGCUUGCCAAGGCGACGAUGCGUAGCCGACCUGAGAGGGUGAUCGGCCACACUGGAACUGAGACACGGUCCAGACUCCUACGGGAGGCAGCAGUAGGGAAUCUUCCGCAAUGGGCGAAAGCCUGACGGAGCAACGCCGCGUGAGUGAUGAAGGUCUUCGGAUCGUAAAACUCUGUUAUUAGGGAAGAACAAAUGUGUAAGUAACUAUGCACGUCUUGACGGUACCUAAUCAGAAAGCCACGGCUAACUACGU